RNAcentral lists this long non-coding RNA (882 nucleotides) under Nicotiana benthamiana. RNAcentral describes it as "long non-coding RNA (NBEN_LNC024767)". Lineage: Eukaryota; Viridiplantae; Streptophyta; Magnoliopsida; Solanales; Solanaceae. The record is from RNAcentral.
CUUCUACAUUUUUCAACUUACAAUAACCAGUGUUACAGUAGUGUACUUGCUAUUUGGAAAGCAAAGAAGCGGAAGAAGUCAGUUGUGCAGCAAUAGCACAACACGACAACAACAGGUUCAACAACCAAAGCAGCAAACCAGUAACAAACGGUGCAGGAAGACCCCAUGAAUAGAUUUAACAACCAAGCAGAAAAUCUAGCAAUAACCAGUGAAGUAAUAACAGUACUAGUUCUGAUAUUCAGCGGUAAAGAAAAGACAUCCUUUUUACUCUUAAGUUAUGAAAUUUUUUAUCUCUCCGCUAGUACUGAAAAUAUUUUUUCUCUCUCCAAACUUUUCUCCCCCUUAAGUGACAAAUGACUUCUAAUUUAUAUCCAAAAGCAAUAACCUUUUCUCCUAUUCUUUUAACUUUUAUUAAUACCCCUUUUAUUAUUACAUACUAUUUCUGAUUCCCAAUCAACAAAAGCAGUCAAACUGGACCCCACGAUCCAAUCUCUUUUUACUUUAAUCACUAUCCUCCCCACAUAUCUUGUCCCCUCUUUUUACUUUACAUAAUUAUGUUCCCCACUAUUUUUAAACAAUUCUUUAUAAAUUUAAUUCCAAAAAUACCCCUCGAAAUUCUUGAAAUUACCACUCUACCCCAUCUCUUCAAUCUGUACCAAAAUUUAUCAAUGGCCAAACUUUGAUUUUUUUUUUUAAAAAACACCGACUUACUAUAGCUAUAACUGAAUUCCUAGUCAAAUUCAAUAAUUAAUUCAAAUAAUAAGAUGAACAUCAAAGAACCAACUAUUAAUUAUUUUGAACAACAUUCUUAACAAGCAUACUUUCGGAUUCAACAACAAUAACAAAAUUGAACAUAAAAAAACAAGUAGAUUUCAAUCACAA